AUUUGUUCUUAUAUGCCCAUUCCACUGGGGAAAGUCUUCACAUGCUUGGUGUAGACCAGCACUGGCAAAGUAUUGGCACACAUGCCUAGAUGCUGCUCCCUUCCCCCUCUUCCCCCCAGUGCUCCAGGACAUGUUUUGCAUGCCCCACCCCUCUAUCCAGCAGCACUUCCUCCCUCCCCUCUCUCUGGUAAUGGGCAGGUGAGGCUAACUGUCAGCUUGAAUUUGCCCUCUGGGCACUUAAACUCAAACCUUCACUAAAUCUGGUGUAGACAUUCCGUUUAACUGACUGAAGUGUUUGAGGUUCGUGAGUUACCCUCAGUUGGAUUUAGCUUGUCUGUCAAGAUGGUUUUAUUUUGUUUUUUUUAAACCCUCACCUUCCAUCUCAAAAUCAACACUGUGCAUUAGUUCCAAGGCAGAAGAGUGGUAAGGGCUAGGCAAUGGGGGUUAAGUGACUUGCCCAGGGUCAUCCAGCUAGGAAGUGUCUGAUUUCAGAUUUGAACCCAGGACCUCCUGUCUCUGGGCCUGGUUCUCAAUACAGUGAGCUGAUCAAAUUGCCCCCCAAAGAUGGUUUUGCCUGCCAUAGCUUCUUGGAGUCCCAGGUGAGAGUUGAGUGAAAGGUGGACACCAAAGAGGGAUGAGGAGAGAACUAUGUAUAACAUCCAUAAUUGACAUUAUGUAUUGGGUACCUCUCUGCCUCCCCCCACCCCAUUUUAGGGAAACUAGACUUUUGAGCCAUAACUAGUACUAUUAUUAGCUUUGUCCCAUGAAUCUAGGGAGGGACUUUGUUAGAAAGCCAACGAAUCUGUGAAUGAGGAGUGGGUCAGGCUGCCUAGACCUGAACCCAGGCCACAAACAGUUGAAAAAGCAAUGGCUGAGUUAGGAACACGGACUUCAGUCAAACUGAGCCAACCCUCUUUCUGCUGGCACAAACCCUUCUGCUGCCUCUGCAGGGACAGCACAGCUUAUAUUUGCAGCCCUCCCAGAACCCCCAGAACAUUCUGAGUUUACAAAGUCGUGGCCUUUGCUGGACAUGUCCACCAUGGGCACCAGCUCCCCUAAGAUCAGGAAAGGAGAGGGGGUGUCCAUGAGACCCAUGGCAAGUUGGCCUCGUUACAGCCUCCAGCACCGACUGCCACAUCAGCCGACACAAGGUGGAGUAAGAUCUGGGUACCCCGUGAGCAGAAGCCCAGAGAAAACUAGUUAGAGGAAGUGCUCCUUUUGACACUGCAAUCAAUAGCUUCCCUCACGGGGCAGCGGCCACUUGGAGUAUAUCCAUAGUAGGUCACCGCAUGACCUAAAGUAGCUCCGGAGCCAUCCUGAAGGUGUCUAGGAUCAGAAAAGCAUGUCAGAGCCUUCAUGGAAUUCGUGUUCAAUGUGAGACAACAGCGGGAUGAGGGUGACGAGUCAUGAAAGCCUGACGUCACUUUGGGUGUCAUUCAGAAACCGUGAGAUCUUGGCUUUAGAGCUGGCAGGGUUCUCGGAGAGCCCCAAAUCCUCAUUUUCCUGAUGAGAAGAUGAGAUGGAGGUCAAGAAUAGGAACAUGACUUGGAAUCAUAGAAUCCGAGCUCUAGAGCUGAAAGGAACUUCAGAGGUCAUCAGGUCCAGCGCCCUCGUUGGACACAGGAGGAAACUGAAGCCCAGGGAAGGGACGGGACUUGUCCAAGGCCAUACAGGUAGCAGGCAUCAGAGGUAGGAUUCCAGCCUACUACAGAGUCAGCGCUCCACAGAGGCAUCACACUGCUUCCUCUGUGCCUCAGUCUCCUUAUCCCUAAAUCAAAAGGGUUGAACUAGACAACCAUGAAGGUUCCUUCCAGCUCAGAUAUCCCAUGAUCCUCCAACCUGUGUCUGCAUCACGGGAGAAGGAGGGGGCCCACAAAGGGAAGACUGAGGGAAGAGGAGGGAGAGAUGUUUUCGCUGGGGUCAGGCUCUGGGGAGCAUGAUGAGUUUUGCCUGGGCAAAGUCAGCAAGCUGAACUCCAAAAAGCUCUCCUCAUCCAUUGCUCCUCCUCCUCCUCCUCCUCCUCCUUCUCCUCCUUUUUUUGCAAUUGGAAAUAGCUGGGAGCCCCUGCCAGACACAGGGAAGAAAAGACACAGUCAGUCUGCCUGAGGUCUGCUCAGACACACCCUUGCCUGCAAUUUGGCUAUUGGGGGAGGCCUUCACCACAGGCUGCUGGAGGGGAGAAAAGCAGAUUCCAGCGGCCAGCUCAAGCUGUCUCGCCUGCAGUCCUCUAGGAACGGGAAGAAACAGCCAAGUGAGACUGUCCCGGAAAGCCCAGGGCUUCUGUGGCUAGCCAAUGACCCCUUUGUUCCUUGGAGGCAAGCCUUCCACAUCAAGCAGACUGGGGCUGCCGUACCAAGCCAUCAGCGAGCCCCCAUUGGUCACUGACUUAUGGUUUGAUCUUAGGCCACCCCUCGGCCCACUUUCUGGCUCGCCAAGUAGGCAUAAAGAUUCCCCAAGGCUCCAUCUUCAAGGUGACCCUGUUUUCUCACCCAAACUGCUGCCUACAAGUAUGGCUCGGAUCGGGAUCCUGCCUAGGCCCCUCCCUCUGACAAGAAACAUGUGGGCUGCUUUCCCUGCUUCAGACGGAGAUCAGGGUACGAGGGCUGAGGGGGACUCUCCUAGCAUGCCUAAGAACCUAGAAGGUCCUGAGAUAUUCCAGAGUGCUCCCUCGUUGGCUACCAUGAUGGCACCAUGUUACUGAAGAGAGAGGCAGGGGGUUGUGAAUGCGACGUUAGACGCUCCCGCUGAUCCCGGGUAUUGGCCCAUGGAGAAUCUCUGCACAAUAGACAGUGCCAUCAAAGGGAAGCUGGAGGGACUGUUGUUCUAUAAUCGUUGGCAAGAGGGGGCCACACGCAUUGACAGCCACAUUGAGGAUGAGCCCUUUGAGGACGAGUAAUGGAGCCACUUCCACACAGAUUUCACCCCUACAGUAUGCUGAAACAGACACAUGACAGGAGAUGGCUGGGCAUUGGGACCCGAUGAACCCCGAGGUCUUUGUGGGGACAUCAAGGGCACUGACAGCAUAUCUCCUUAAUAUGGCAUCGCCACGGACACACCAGAGAGCCUUUGGCGCCACAUUGUUGAUGACUGAGAUCAUGUUCCUCAGCAACGUCCUUGGGAGGAUAGUCCCAAGAGACAACCCCAGACAUCUGUGCCCUCUAGGGAGCUCUACGAGCCAGGGAAUGGCAGAGGAAGGAGACCUUGGUGAAGUGAUGAGUUCUUUGUCCAAGACAGGAUCCUGGGGCUACCAGACAGUGAGGAUGUUGGUGGGAGAACCACAGGGGAGCUUUGGAAUCAAGUCUUCUGGACCAAGCAGGAACCAAAGCUGAGGCCCAGGCAGGGACAGAGCCAUAGUACAGACCUCACCAAUCACGAGUACUGUGAAUUAUGUGAACUGUGCAGGGCAGGUUCUUUCUUGACGCUGCUUACUUUCCCUCUUGUGGAUGUCUACGGGUCGGGAGAUGUCUUGGGAGGGAGGCGGGGAAAAGGAAAGCCCCAAGGGUAAGUACUAGAAGUCUGGCAAGUUGCAUGAGUCCAUGGGACUGGACCUACGAGAGGGUGGUCGAGCCUGCAGCUGGAUUCUCUAACUCUCCUUGGAUGGGUGGGUGGGAGCAGAGCACCAUGUGGGACGGAAUGGAACUUUCAGUGGGUCUGUGAUCUCAUCAGUUUAGAGACUCACUCCGUUCACCAAGAUGGUGACCCAAUGGUACCAGUACUCUCAUGAGGCCAUAAAUCAGUGUGAUCUCAGGCAACCCACAAGGCAACCAAGAGAUGCAUGGCACUUGUAUGAAUGUGAGUGCCAGUGCUGAGAACAAGAUCUGGUGUGGCCCAAUGUCAAUAGGAUGGACUGUGUGUCUAAGGAAGAGACGCCCAUUAUUAGAAGCCUGACUGCUCAGCGAUGAGCUCCUUGGUCAUAAGUCCUAUGAAACCGGUUCUUUAACAAACUGCCUCUGUGGUCCCGAUGGAAAGUCAAACUCCCCUUGAGCUCCCUUGAAAGAUGUGUACUGCCCUUUCUUUCCUCCAUCCCCUGGGCACCUGCCUCUCCUUACUCCCCAAAACAAGUAAGUGCCAUGGGAUACAGGCCAAAACUUAUUGGGAAAAAGGGUCGCCACAGAAGAGGGGAGGAAGGGGGAACUGAGCUCUUGGUGGGGCUGGGGUUUCCUAGAAGGCAGAGGGGAGGAGGCCAGUUUCCAGGUCAGCCUCCAAGUGGCUGGAGAGGGACAAGAAGGGAAGUGGUGGCAUCCUCCCUUUGUGAUCUAUAAUUAGCCUUUCCACCACCUGCGCAGGCCAUGAGCAUGACUCAAGGCUCUACUCUCCCCACCACCACCCCCCCAACAUACUUCAGGACCUGCUCUUGGAUUUUUUUCAAGAUCAGAGGAUUCCAGAGAAUUCAGAGCAGGAAGAAAAAUGAAAUGAGGAAACUGAGGCCUAGAAACGGGAAGAGCCCAAAGACCACACAUAGUAAGUAGCAGAGAUAGACUACGAACCCAGACGGUCCAAGGGCUAGUGUAGUGUAAACUUGGUUCGGACGAGCCUUUGGAUAGUAGCUCGCGGCCCUGGGGUUUCAAGCAGGCAACUGCAAUGAGGUAUGCCAGCUGAGUCAGAGAGAAGCUCCCAGUCCUACCAUUGAGGAGCCGUGGCUCCCGAACCAGGCCCGGCAAGCCUUGGGUGUCUCCAGAGCCAAGAGCAGUUGUAAAAUUCUUCACAUUCUCCAAAUCGAGUACGCUUGGAUUCCCAAGGCAGACCCAGAUGUCCCUUAUUUCGCACAAGCUGCCAAGAGCAGUUGUACAAUUCUUCACAUUCUUCAGAUCUGAAUCCCCAAGGCAGACCCAGAUGUCCCUUAUUUCACGCACAAAGCCAUGUGCCUGAGCCAUUAUGGGCUGUCUAAACUCUGGUGAAUCAGAUCCUGCCUCGGGGGCCCCUGCAAGAUUGCUACUGAGAAAUUCUCUGGCGGAUCUUUCGGGUCCACUCAAUGCGUUGGUUGCCUGGUGGGUAAAUAAAAUGCCUUUAGGAGAACUUCAGGCAGCAUGGCUUCAAGGUUGGGGUCCUUUAGGACAUUUUGAGGCGUAUGUCCAAUAAUGGGGGUGGUCUUUGAUAAGGUCAACCAUGUUCUCUCUGAAGGAGCUUAUGGUCUGGUUGGGGAAACAAGAGACUUGAGAUAGCAUACCAGAAAGGGUGCUAAAUAAAGACCUGGGUUUGAAUCCUGCCUUACAUAGCAACAAUGAUGACGAUGGCAAUAGGAGGUAACAUUUCUAUCUCUCUGAAUCUCCCUUUCCUCAUUGGUAAAGUGAGGUAGCUGAGUAUUUAUUUAUUUGGUACCCAUUCUGUGGGGGAAAUAACAGCACCCCCACACACACAAGGUUAUUGUGAUCAACUGAUAUUGUGCCUUCAAAUUCUCUGCAAACCUUGAAAUGUUAUAGAAGUGUGAGCUUUUGGGGCAGCUGGGUAACUCAGUGGAUUGAGAGCCAGGCCUAGAGACGGGAGGUCCUGGGUUCAAAUCUGGCCUCAGCCACUUCCUAGCUGGGUGACCCUGGGCAAGUCACUUGACCCCCAUUGCCUAGCCCUUACCGCUCUUCUGCCUUAGAGCCAAUACACAGUAUUGAUUCCAAGACGGAAGGUGAGGGUUUAAAAAAAGAAGUGUGAGCUCUUAUUACUAUGUGACAGAAUUAGCAAAGACUAUAGCAUAAUAUGCAGUAUCAGGCUGCAAGACUAAGGCAUCGCUCAUACACAGGGUGUAGUGGAUUGCCAUGGACUAGAGUAAAUUAUGAGAAGCUUUGGGCAAGGUUUGCCUCACAUCCUAAGCAUCUUCUUCACCACCACACCGCGCUGCCCACCGCCCACCCACUACUGGAUUUCUGUCCUUCCCUCUAUGACCAUAGAUGUCAGAGGAAAGGGUCUUAGAGAUCAUCUACUCCAGCCCCAAGGCACAGAAAAAUGAAGAAAUGAAGUGAUUAGUCCAAGGCCAUGUAGGGGAAUAUGUUGGCAGAGACUAGACUCAAAAGUAGGCCUCCUGCCCCUCAGCCUGGUAUUUUUCCACUGUCUAGACCACACUGCCUCUUCUGUCCCAGGCUUCUCCAGUGUCCCUCCCUCAUUCGCACUUCUGUUCCCUGGGGCCCCCACUAAACUGUGGUUAGCUGCUGAGGGAAGCCCUGGCCCAGCUUCCCAAGUUCUAGGGGUGAGGGGAGGAGGUUGAGCUGGAACAGGGCCAAGCCACAGGGGAUGGCUGAUGCCCAGCCAAGGGUGAAGCCCAGAGACUAGGACUGGCCCCAGACAGAGGCAGCCAUGGCCAUCGCCUGCAAAAUAACAUGGUUGAGGUUUCUCCUCCUUUGGGGUUUCUCAACUGUUUUCUUUUCUAUUAUGCCUUUGUGUUUUCUACACACACACACACACACACACACACACACACACACACACACACACACACACACAACCCCUACCCCUUCCUUUUCUUUUUUUUUCAAUAAUACUAGGAUGCAGGCUUGGCAGUGAAGCCAUGGUGGUAGGAUUGUACCAAGCCAAAUUGUGAAGUCAGCAAGUUUAGGGUGACCUCGUUGGGAUUUCCCACCCCCAUGGUGGCCAUUGAUCUCAUGCUGCCCCUCAUGGGUGUCCCUUCUCCUCUGCAGGCUCCAUUGGCCUCUUCUAUAAAAGGAGAGGAUUAAGGGGGAAAUCCAUGAACUAAAAUGCUCCAGUUGGCCUGGAUGAUCUCUAGGGCCCUUCUAGCUUGGACAUGCUCUGCCCUCUUUGAGAAUAGAGAUGAAGGAGCAAUGGCAGUUAGCAUCAUCCAGUCUUCCAGAGAGGACCUGAAGCAACCCAUGCCCCAUGAAAUCAAGAUCUGACUCCUUCCUUUGGACUCCUUUCAUGCAGUGGGAAUUGGAGACCUUUCGCCAUCCUUCUUGUCCUCCUGGAGGAACUUUCAUCUGAUCAGUGACCCUCUGGGAACAUGGUGCCAGGGCCUAGCUACAAUCCCCCACAUGAGGAGCACAGGCUUCCCUGCCAGUGCAGCCCGAGAGACUUGACAGAGCAUAAGAGAAACAGCUGAAGAAAGGCCGGGGUCGGAAUCCUGCCAUCUUACAUGACAACAGUAUGGAACGUUUAUAUAGCUCUGAGCCCCCACUCUGCUUCCGAGGGCAUUUCCUCAACUGUAUUCCAAAACCAAAUGAUGGGAGUAUCUGUGUACCCAUGCCAUUAAAUGCCCAGCACAAGACAA
This is an RNA transcript of Monodelphis domestica (gray short-tailed opossum), 7207 nucleotides long. RefSeq lists it as uncharacterized. Lineage: Eukaryota; Metazoa; Chordata; Mammalia; Didelphimorphia; Didelphidae. The record is from RefSeq and is a predicted model, not a curated record.